GCAUAUCAAUAAGCGGAGGAAAAGAAAAUAACAAUGAUUUCCCUAGUAACGGCGAGUGAAGAGGAAAGAGCUCAAAGUUGGAACCUGUUUGGCUUAGCUAAACCGGAUUGUAAACUGUAGAAGUGUUUUCCAGACACGCCUGGUAAAAAAGUCCUUUGGAACAGGGCAUCAUAGAGGGUGAGAAUCCCGUCAUUGGCCAGAGCUGUUGUCUUUUGUGAUACAUUUUCAAAGAGUCAGGUUGUUUGGGAAUGCAGCCUAAAUUGGGUGGUAAAUCUCACCUAAAGCUAAAUAUUUGCGAGAGACCGAUAGCGAACAAGUACCGUGAGGGAAAGAUGAAAAGAACUUUGAAAAGAGAGUUAAACAGUAUGUGAAAUUGUUAAAAGGGAACCGUUUGGAGCCAGACUGGCUUAACUGUAAUCAAUCUAGGCUUUGGCCUGGAUGCACUUGCGGUUUAUGCCGGCCAACGACAGUUUUGUUUGAGGGAAAAAAUUACAUUGAAUGUGGCCCUUCGGGGUGUUAUAGCUUUGUAAAAAAUACCUUGGACUGGACUGAGGAACGCAGUGAAUGCCUUUAGGCAAGAUUGCUGGGUGCUUUCGCUAAUAAAUGCUAGAAUUUCUGCUUCGGGUGGUGCUAGUGUUUAAAGGAGGAACUCGCUUAGUAUAUUUUUUAUUCGCUUAGGUUGUUGGCUUAAUGACUCUAAAUGACCCGUCUUGAAACACGGACC
RNAcentral lists this ribosomal RNA (724 nucleotides) under Mucor sp. JCM 28520. RNAcentral's name for it is "eukaryotic LSU rRNA". It matches the Rfam family "Eukaryotic large subunit ribosomal RNA", at positions 38 to 667 of the family's 3401-position model. Lineage: Eukaryota; Fungi; Mucoromycota; Mucoromycetes; Mucorales; Mucoraceae. The record is from RNAcentral.